RNAcentral lists this long non-coding RNA (228 nucleotides) under Gossypium barbadense (sea-island cotton). RNAcentral describes it as "long non-coding RNA (GBAR_LNC005591)". Lineage: Eukaryota; Viridiplantae; Streptophyta; Magnoliopsida; Malvales; Malvaceae. The record is from RNAcentral.
ACAGUCCUCUAAUUUACAAUCACGACCUUCUACUUACAGGAUUUUACAAAUCUCACAAUUCGCUAAUUUAUGAUCACGACCUACUUACAAGAUUUUACAAAUCUCACGGUCCACUGAUUUACAAUCACGACCUUCAACAUACAAGAUUUACAUAAUCUUAUAGAUUACAAUACAGUUUGCGGUAUUUUAUAAUACAUUUCGCGACAUUUCUGUACAUACAGUUUGUAG